This 87-nucleotide transfer RNA is filed under the name Candidatus Omnitrophota bacterium. Its description in RNAcentral is "Candidatus Omnitrophica bacterium tRNA-Ser". It matches the Rfam family "tRNA". Rfam says of the family: Transfer RNA (tRNA) molecules are approximately 80 nucleotides in length. Their secondary structure includes four short double-helical elements and three loops (D, anti-codon, and T loops). The record is from RNAcentral. Lineage: Bacteria; Pseudomonadati; Candidatus Omnitrophota.
GGAGAGAUGGCAGAGUGGUUGAAUGCGGCGCUCUCGAAAAGCGUUAGGGUCGUAAGAUCCUCGGGGGUUCGAAUCCUCCUCUCUCCG